AGGCCGUGCAAAGGAAUGGAUUUACAAGUAGACCAGAACAUUGUAGCUCCUCAAUGUUGAUAGUUAGCAAUACAUAGGUAGAUAUAUAGUACAAAAAAGUUGAAGAAACACUUGUAUUCUUUAUUAAUUACUAUUUCAUUGUGCAGACACAAUUUUUUAUAUUGUUUCCAUUUGAUGUCAAUUACACCCUUCUGCAGACAACAGCAUAUUUGUUGUCCUGCAAUUGUUUAUAUAUGUCUCCAU
RNAcentral lists this unclassified non-coding RNA (243 nucleotides) under Hevea brasiliensis (rubber tree). Lineage: Eukaryota; Viridiplantae; Streptophyta; Magnoliopsida; Malpighiales; Euphorbiaceae. The record is from RNAcentral.